Molecule: transfer RNA, 76 nt
Filed under: Paracoccaceae bacterium
Lineage: Bacteria; Pseudomonadati; Pseudomonadota; Alphaproteobacteria; Rhodobacterales; Paracoccaceae
Description: Rhodobacteraceae bacterium tRNA-Thr
Rfam family: tRNA
About the family: Transfer RNA (tRNA) molecules are approximately 80 nucleotides in length. Their secondary structure includes four short double-helical elements and three loops (D, anti-codon, and T loops).
Source: RNAcentral
GCCGCUGUAGCUCAGUUGGUAGAGCACGUCAUUCGUAAUGAUGGGGUCGGGAGUUCGAGUCUCUUCAGCGGCACCA